AGGAUAAACGCUGGCGGCGUGCCUAACACAUGCAAGUCGAACGCGCUUUCGGGCUUCGGUGCGAGAGCGAGUGGCGGACGGGUGAGUAACACAUGGGUACCUACCUUGGAGUGAGGGAUACCGGCGAGAAAUCGCCGACAAUACCGCAUAGGCUUCUUCACAAGGGAAGCAAAGUGACGCGAGUCACGCUGUGAGAUGGGCCUGUGGCCGAUUAGCUAGUUGGGGGGGUAACGGCUUCCCAAGGCGACGAUCGGUAGCUGGUCUGAGAGGACGAUCAGCCACACUGGGAUUGAGAACGGCCCAGACUCCUACGGGGGCAGCAGUGAGGAAUUUUCCGCAAUGGAGGCAACUCUGACGGAGCAACGCCGCGUGCAGGAGGAAGGUUUUCGGAUCGUAAACUGCUUUUCUCGGGGACGAGCAAGGACGGUACCCGAGGAAGAAGCCCGGCUAACUACGUGCCAGCAGCCGCGGU
RNAcentral lists this ribosomal RNA (472 nucleotides) under uncultured bacterium. RNAcentral's name for it is "SSU rRNA". It matches the Rfam family "Bacterial small subunit ribosomal RNA", at positions 26 to 521 of the family's 1533-position model. The record is from RNAcentral.